AGGCAGCUGUUUGGCCUGCGGCCGGAGCCGAGGAAACGACGUGGGCCGACCAGAAGUGUCUUGAGCAGCUGGGUGCGCUGCCCUGUGGCGCGUCGCGAAGAUUUCGCUUGUUUGCUGAUGGCAAUGAUCCAGAAGAGAAGGAGACAUUGAUGAUGCAAGAGAGAAGAACUUGAAUGGCAAUGAGAACAAUGAGAGGGUCACCAUACUGGAGAUCUGUGGCUUUAGAACAUGGCCCCCAAUUCCUUGACACUCCUACUGAGAGGUGGGUCUAUGACCUCUCUCUUGAAUCUGGAGGGUCUUGGGACUACUUUGACCAAUAGGUAUGAAGGUCAUAUAGCAGAAGUGAUGCCAUAUGACUUUCAAAGCUAUAUCAUAAAAGGCCAUGCAGCUUCUGCCUGGCCCUCCUAGGAUACUCACUCUGGAGGAAGCCAGCCAUCUUGUAAAAAGUCCAGUUACCCUGAGACUAUACCAUGCCAGAGAGGCCAGGUGUAGGUGCUGGUUGACAGCCCCAGCUGAGCUCUCAGUCAAUAGUCAGUAUCAACUGCCAGCCUUGUGAGUGAGCCAUCUUGGACAUCCAGGCCAGCUGAUCUCUGACAGUAACCACACCACACCAAAAGCCCCAGACAAGGACUUUUAAAUCCCAAAUUUAUGACUGCAAAACUGUAAGCAGAAUAAAAUGCUUUUUAAAAAAUC
Neofelis nebulosa (Clouded leopard) is the source of this 693-nucleotide long non-coding RNA. RefSeq lists it as uncharacterized. The record is from RefSeq and is a predicted model, not a curated record. The transcript is spliced from 2 exons. Lineage: Eukaryota; Metazoa; Chordata; Mammalia; Carnivora; Felidae.